Molecule: ribosomal RNA, 497 nt
Filed under: uncultured bacterium
Lineage: Bacteria
Description: partial 16S ribosomal RNA
Rfam family: Bacterial small subunit ribosomal RNA
Source: RNAcentral
GAUGAACGCUGGCGGCGUGCCUAAUACAUGCAAGUCGAGCGAACAGACGAGGAGCUUGCUCCUCUGACGUUAGCGGCGGACGGGUGAGUAACACGUGGAUAACCUACCUAUAAGACUGGGAUAACUUCGGGAAACCGGAGCUAAUACCGGAUAAUAUAUUGAACCGCAUGGUUCAAUAGUGAAAGACGGUUUUGCUGUCACUUAUAGAUGGAUCCGCGCCGCAUUAGCUAGUUGUUAAGGUAACGGCUUACCAAGGCAACGAUGCGUAGCCGACCUGAGAGGGUGAUCGGCCACACUGGAACUGAGACACGGUCCAGACUCCUACGGGAGGCAGCAGUAGGGAAUCUUCCGCAAUGGGCGAAAGCUUGACGGAGCAACGCCGCGUGAGUGAUGAAGGUCUUCGGAUCGUAAAACUCUGUUAUUAGGGAAGAACAAAUGUGUAAGUAACUAUGCACGUCUUGACGGUACCUAAUCAGAAAGCCACGGCUAACUACGUG